Non-coding RNA from Gastrolobium bilobum, 74 nucleotides. Lineage: Eukaryota; Viridiplantae; Streptophyta; Magnoliopsida; Fabales; Fabaceae. The record is from the annotation of a RefSeq genome assembly.
GUUUGCGUGGCCUAAUGGAUAAGGCGCUCGCCUCCGGAGCGGGAGAUUGUGGGUUCCGAGUCCCACCGUGGACG